UGCCAGCAGCCGCGGUAAUACGUAGGGGGCAAGCGUUGUCCGGAUUUACUGGGUGUAAAGGGCGCGCAGGCGGAUUUGUCAGUCAGGGGUGAAAUCCUACAGCUUAACUGUAGAACUGCCUUUGAUACUGCAAAUCUUGAGUUCGGAAGGGAGAGGCGGAAUUCCAGGUGUAGUGGUGAAAUACGUAGAUAUCUGGAAGAACACCAGAGGCGAAGGCGAUCUCCUGGAACAAUACUGACGCUAAGGCGUGAAAGCGUGGGGAGCAAACGGGAUUAGAUA
Molecule: ribosomal RNA, 279 nt
Filed under: uncultured bacterium
Lineage: Bacteria
Description: partial 16S ribosomal RNA
Rfam family: Bacterial small subunit ribosomal RNA
Source: RNAcentral